GAUGAACGCUGUCGGCGUGCCUAAUACAUGCAAGUCGAGCGAACAGAUGAGGAGCUUGCUCCUCUGACGUUAGCGGCGGACGGGUGAGUAACACGUGGAUAACCUACCUAUAAGACUGGGAUAACUUCGGGAAACCGGAGCUAAUACCGGAUAAUAUAUUGAACCGCAUGGUUCAAUAGUGAAAGACGGUUUUGCUGUCACUUAUAGAUGGAUCCGCGCCGCAUUAGCUAGUUGGUAAGGUAACGGCUUACCAAGGCAACGAUGCGUAGCCGACCUGAGAGGGUGAUCGGCCACACUGGAACUGAGACACGGUCCAGACUCCUACGGGAGGCAGCAGUAGGGAAUCUUCCGCAAUGGGCGAAAGCCUGACGGAGCAACGCCGCGUGAGUGAUGAAGGUCUUCGGAUCGUAAAACUCUGUUAUUAGGGAAGAACAAAUGUGUAAGUAACUAUGCACGUCUUGACGGUACCUAAUCAGAAAGCCACGGCUAACUACGUG
RNAcentral lists this ribosomal RNA (497 nucleotides) under uncultured bacterium. RNAcentral describes it as "partial 16S ribosomal RNA". It matches the Rfam family "Bacterial small subunit ribosomal RNA", at positions 28 to 507 of the family's 1533-position model. The record is from RNAcentral.